CCUGACUAUUUUUAGAACACCUACUUAAAGUUGAAUGGGGAGAUCUGUCCAUUUUUAGAGCUAAUCACCAAAAGUAUAAACAUCCCACUUAUUCAUUAAGUGGGAGGUCUGUGACCCACAUGUGCAAUAGUGGGUGAUGAAUAAGAAUCGACUGACUCCUGGGCAGUACUAAGCAAGGCUUUAAACUAUGAUUUGUCCACAUAAAAAGUGGAGGAAGACACAGGAAGUGAUGUGAGAUAAAGUGUCUUUAAAAGGGAAUGACAACUUCCUGAAGGAGUUCUAUUGGGACUUCAUUCUUUGGAGUGGAGGUUGAAGGAGAAAUCUGCUGACUGGACCUGAGACCCUAUUCCUGAUGAUAUUGUUGGACUGACACAUGAAACACUGAAGACUGCAUUACUCAAUAACUUACAAGCUGAAACUCUUUCCAGGCUUGCUUUCACAAGAAAAUGGAUAUUUUUCAAGCUGAACUCCUUAUGGCAUGGACUUGAGGGCCAUUAUCAUUCUCUUUGCUCUUCUAUGGAUGCUCUCCAGUUUGCCUUUAAAUGAGACUGCUGCCACACUCUCUGAUACUGCUAAAAGGAACUUCAGAAAUGGAAAACCUUUCUGGACAUCUUUGAAAAACUUCCACAGAACAUGGUGCAGCCCAGACUCAUGGUUGGUUAGGAGGACAAAGUCAGUGUGUAACCCUUGUGUCAGGAGUUUUCACAUGAUCUGGAGGAUUCUCAUGCAGACAUUUGCAGAGGCUAUUUCAAACAAAGGAAGGUAG
RNAcentral lists this long non-coding RNA (766 nucleotides) under Monodelphis domestica (gray short-tailed opossum). Its description in RNAcentral is "lncRNA (ENSMODG00000029975.2)". Lineage: Eukaryota; Metazoa; Chordata; Mammalia; Didelphimorphia; Didelphidae. The record is from RNAcentral.